Molecule: ribosomal RNA, 423 nt
Filed under: Siphonaria sp. UF 292259
Lineage: Eukaryota; Metazoa; Mollusca; Gastropoda; Siphonariida; Siphonariidae
Description: partial 16S ribosomal RNA
Rfam family: Bacterial large subunit ribosomal RNA
Source: RNAcentral
AUCCUGUAGCACUAAUUGCAGGUGUUGCCUGCCCUAUGCGCGGUAAAUGGCCGCAGAACUUUAACUGUGCUAAGGUAGCAUAAUCAUUUGUCUUUUAAAUGGGGACUGUAUGAAUGGCUUAAUGGGAUAAUGCUGUCUUAAUAAAGUUUCAUAGAAAUUAUUGAAAAGGUGAAAAUCCCUUUAAAAUAUAAAAAGACGAGAAGACCCUAAGAGUUUAAGUUAAAAAGAGUAUAUUUUUUAGAUUUUUGUUGGGGCAACAAAGGAGUUAUCCUCCUUUAAUAGACUAGAAAUUUAUUUUAGAAAGAAAACACUACCUUAGGGAUAACAGCACAAUCUGUAACGGGUUUGUGACCUCGAUGUUGGACUAGGAAUAGCUAUUUUCAGAAGAAAUAUGUUAAUGCUCUGUUCGAGCAAAUCUAACCU